CACCCUCCCCCUGCUAUACACACUUUAAAUAGAAAGUAGGCAGGAGCCAGAAGAUUUAUGACUGAUGAUUUGGAAUGCAGGAGAGAGCCUGAAGGAGCACGGAGACGUCCUUGGGGUUCAGACCAGUGGAAGUCGGUCUCGGCCUGGUGCAAGGCCUCUCAGCAGAGCAAGCUCCCAUGGUGCUGGCAGAAGUUUCAGCUAGAGAAGGAAGCUUGUGGGCACUGGAGGUGGCAGCUGUCAUGCAGUAACUGACCCUGCAGCUACAGAGUAUGGGCGAUGAUCCUUGGACGUGAGAACCUGGAGCACCUGCUGGUUCUGUUUCUCCCUGGAAACGUGGCCAUAUGUUGGAAGCUGCUUCUCCCACGAGCCAGUCCUGUGGAGGCUGUUCUGGUUGCUGUUAUGUCCUGCCCAAACCUCUGGGUCCUCUUACCAUUUUUGUGCCUGCAGAUGCCACCAACAGCUGGCCUGAGGGAGAGGGCUAUCAGGCUGCUGAAACCCAUUUUGCUUGUGUCAAGCAGGAAAGAGAGCAGGAAAAUGCCUGGGACUGUGCCUCCUCCUGGGGCCACCUCUGACAACAACCCAGCUCCCUUGCCCUGUGGAGACACUCCAGGAAGCGACCUGCACCAUCUCCAGAACUCCCCUAAAGAAAUGAGCCCAAGUUAUCCCCA
Nycticebus coucang (slow loris) is the source of this 668-nucleotide long non-coding RNA. RefSeq lists it as uncharacterized. The transcript is spliced from 3 exons. The record is from RefSeq and is a predicted model, not a curated record. Lineage: Eukaryota; Metazoa; Chordata; Mammalia; Primates; Lorisidae.